This 214-nucleotide long non-coding RNA is filed under the name Homo sapiens (human). Its description in RNAcentral is "HSALNT0081164". Lineage: Eukaryota; Metazoa; Chordata; Mammalia; Primates; Hominidae. The record is from RNAcentral.
AAAUUGAAAGUAAACUCAUGGCUUCAACCUUUAUACCAAACCUCCAGUCAAGAGAGCAGCAUGGUUUCCAGCGAUGGUUAAACAUUUCCACCAAGAAGCCUUAGUGAAAUUGGAAAGUAAUUGGAAGACAAAACAGGAAGAAAAGGAACCUGACAUCAAAAUAGAGAUUUUGUAACGGCUUAAGAACAGAGACCAGUUUGGAAGAUCAAGAGCC